This 4442-nucleotide long non-coding RNA is filed under the name Sus scrofa (pig). RNAcentral describes it as "lncRNA (ENSSSCG00000058918.1)". Lineage: Eukaryota; Metazoa; Chordata; Mammalia; Artiodactyla; Suidae. The record is from RNAcentral.
UUGCCAUGAGCUGUGGUGUAGUUGCAGACACAGCUCAGAUCUGGGUUUGUGGUGGCUGUGGCAUAGGUCAGCAGCUACAGCUCAGGUUUGACCCCUAGUCUGGGAAUCUCCAUAUGCAGCACAGGUGCUGCUCUGAAAAGCAAAAAGCAGGAGUUCCCAUCGUGGCUCAGUGGUUAAUGAAUCCGACUAGGAAGCAUGAGGUUGAGGGUUCGAUCCUUGGCCUCGAUCAGUGGGUUAGGGAUCUGGUGUUGCCGUGAGCUUGCUGUGAGCUGUGGUGUAGGUCACAGACGUGGUUCAGAUCUGGCAUUGCUGUGGCUCUGACGUAGGCCAGCAGAGCAGCUACAGCUCUGAUUAGACCCCUACCUAGCCUGGGAACCUCCAUAUGCCGUGGGUGCAGCCCUAAAAGGACAAAAGACCAAAAAUAAAUAAAUAAAAAUUAAAUAAUAAUAAAAAGCUCUCAGAAAAAAAGGAAAAAACAAACAAAAACUGAGAGGAAGUAGUCCACAGAUGACCUAAUUUUAACCUUUGAAAUCAUUGUUUUAAAAAGAUCUAUUCUUGAUAAAUGCUUUUAGUUAAUUGGCAUUAAUGCCAAGUCACAUUUUCUAAAGCUUUACUAUUCAUUUCUCUCAUUUCUUGUCCUGAGAAGUGUUAGUGAGAGUAGAAAGCUCUCCUAUAGAAACCAUAAUCUAGAGCUUUUUGACUCUUAGCAAUGGUUAACUGUGUCAGCUCACAGGAAGGAUUAGAUUAAGGAUUGGUUGUUAAGUCAGACUCAGGCAAGUCAGAUAUUUCCCCCAAUCAAGCUUUAUUAACAGUUUCAAGGAAACAAUCGAUCAAUGGGAUAACCAAAAAGGGAUCUGGAGCUGCUUAUCUCAGCAUUUUAAUUCUUAGAUUCUAUGGAAAUACAUGGAGUGGAGUUGGAGUAUAACUUAAACUAAUUAAUUUUACCUUUAUUCCUCAUCUGGCAUGGGACAAAGUUUGCUAAGAUUGAAAUUUUUAGAUAAGAGUAAGUUUUACUUUUACUUAUACAUUUCAAUUUUCCUAAGUAUUGAGUGAAUCUUAAAUUUGCAACAUAUGAAGUUGGUUAUGCUAACUCAUAGAUCACUUCUUGUAACGUGGAAAUCAAAUUAGGGCAAUGAUUUCUGUCUUUGAGAUUUCUUUUAAUAUUAAGACAUUUUAAAUAUUUAAUCCUUUUAAAAUAUUUUAUUGCUAAUAUAUUUUAUGUAGAGCAAAUUGUGGUAUUCAACAAGAGAUCUUGGAAUUCAUAAAUGUGUGUGCUGUAAUUUUCAGAAGCAAAAAUAUUUUGGCUAGUGAAGAUAAUUUUAAAGGAGAAACAAAGAUUUUCAAGCAGAAAUAGUGACAGUGAAAGAUACUGCUUUCUUUUAAGAAUAUUUCAAAUGCUACUUUUUGUGAACCCAACCACACAUCAAUAGGUGAUUCUAGACUUAAUAUCUCUACAGGAUGUUAGGAUAUGUUUAGGAGCUAAUUUAUUCAGUAAGGUAGAGGAUUUUUGUUUUCUGGAUUUUUUUCAAAUGUAUUGGUUUUUUUAUUUGACAAUGUUUAUAACUCAGCUUAAUUCAUUGUAACCUUCAUUUCUCCUCUGUGACAUUGCCACUCAACUGUUGAAUAAAAUUUUAAUAAUAUUUGGUGGAUAAAAUUAUCCAUAUUCAGAUGUAGAUUUCUAAGACUCAGUUGAGAAUAAUGAUGCCUCAUUUCCAAAAUUUUUCAGAGGAGGUUGUCACAUUGAAUAAGUAGAGAUUUUUAUUUGAUAAUUUUCUGGAGAUAAUUGUAAGUUCUAAUAUCCCUAAAACAGAAUAUUAAUCAGGAAUUAAAAUCAUAAAACCUGAGCCCUACGUGUGACUAUUUCAUAUCUGUUUGCAGAUAGUAAAGAUUCAUAGUAAGCCUACUAAACAUGAAAUGCCGAGACCUCGGCACUUAAAAUAAUAUAAACAUUAACAAAUAUAAAUUAAACCAGUCUGGGCCCAAUGCCCAGGGAUCUAGUAAAGCAAACAAAACUGAGCAAAGACAUUUCUAAGAUGAAGAGCUAAAGACAACUGACAGAAUUGAAGAUGCCCUGAGUCAACUGAAAAAGUCUUUACACCUCUUUGCAAAAUGGGUAUCACCGGAUUCAUGAUGCGCAAAACCUGGAGCAUUGGGUUGUGAAGCCUAUAUGGCAGCAGAGAUGUUAGACUCACAUGACAAAGUGUAUAUACAUACCUGUUGAGUCCCUGGUCUGUGCCCUUCUCUCGAUCCAGACUUCUGGGAUCAAUGUUGAGCUCUUCUACCAAUCAUCUUAAGAAUCUGGCUUUAUUCCUUACACUCAAACCCAAUACCCAUUUCACUUCCCAGGCCUGAAAAUCUUGUAGACUUCAAGCUGACAUAGUUUCCUUUCCCCUCCAUUAAGAGGUGCAUGCUUCUCUGUAUUCAUGAGGAAAGGGCUUCAGUGUAUUUCAGCCUUGGACAUGGUCUAGGAGACAGUGGCAUAAGUAAAAAGCUUGUUUUUUACCUUUAUAUCCAUCUUUUUUAAAAACUUAAUUUUAUUGGAAUAUAGUUGAUUCACAAUGGUGUAUGAGUUUCAGGUGUACAGCAAAGUGAAUCAUACAUAUAAAUAAAUUGAUUCUUUUUUCCCCGUAUAGGUUCUUACAAACCAUUGAGUAGAUUUUCCUGCUAUACAUAUACCCAUCUUUUGAGCACUAAUGAUUUAAAAAUAGGAAGUACUGAUGUUUGUUGACUGAGUUGAACCUGUGUUGAUGCCUGCUCAGCAUUAGGUUAGCACCUCUGGGGGCAUCAUUAAGAAGUCCCUUCAACAUAAUUACAUGGGGGGGAUAGAGGCAGUGUUUUAUAUCUUUAUAUAACUGAAGGUAAAACAUAAAAAUUUAAUAAAUUGGACAUGUCAACUACAUUUCCUAAAAGCGAGGAUUUAAAAAAUGGGCUUCGGUUGCAUCUGGGGUUUGUGUCAAGUAGUAGACAUUGCCCUGAAGCAAAAGAAAACAAAAUAGAAGCUGACAUUUUGCAAAAUUGUGCAAAUGAUCUCGCCUCAAAUUUGCAGAGAGCAAAUGAGGGAAUUCUAGCCCUCACAAACACAUUUAGGUAGCCCAUUUCCCUCAUUUUAUUGCUGAGGAAAAAGAUACAUCAGUGUUAAGUGCUUUUCCCAGGGAACCACUAUGGUUAUUGCCAUUUCCCUGACAUAAAAAACUGAUAGAAAGAAUUCUAGGUUCAGUAAAUGUUCCAUUAUCUUGUAUUGCUGAAUGAUUCCUAAUUGCCUAAAUUCAAAUCUUGGCUUUUCCAUUUCUAGCUAGAUAACUUUAAGAAAGUUAACUAACAUUUCUGUGUCGUGGUUUUCUCAUCUAUAAAAUGGGGAAGUAAUGCCUUCUGCAUAGGAUCUUGUAAGGAUCAAAUCAGUUAGUCCAUACAAAGGGUACACUUUCAUACAAUAAGCACUCACAUGUUUGCUAAUAUGACACAUUAAAAUGCUUGCUUGAUAAAUUUAUAGCUGUCUCUAUGAAAUACAUACAUUCUUCUUUGAAAUAUACUUUCUUGGUUAGAUGGCAACUCUUUUAAUAAUGUUAGCCAUCUUAGAAUGGCACUUACUGUAAGUAGAAUUGGCACAAUAACUCUUCCAAGGAAGGUAACUAGGGCUGGAUCAUGGGCAUCUAAACUGAAUGCUUAGUUUAGUGUUUACUCCUAUGAAGCAAGUGGCCUAAUGGCAAUUGCGCUUAUUCUGUAUGAACUGCAUAACACAAAAGAGAAUGUGUACCACAUGUAAUACCAUGGUUAAAUUUGAGCUUUUUCCCUGUGUAACAUUUUAUGACUUAAUAUCAGUAGAAUAUUAGAACCCUAUUGUGCUAUUGCAAUAAAAGUGCAGUUGUAGGCUUUUGCAGAGAACAGUCCUAUGUAAAAGUGAGUGAGUAAAAACAAUUAUCCUUUAAAUGAGCAAUUCUGUUAUUUCAAAAUUAUGAGAUUAUGGAAUAAUGUAAUUGCCCUACACUUUAGUUAAAUUGAGAAAUAAUUAGAUGUUUAUUAGCAACUCUUGGAUAUAGGAUAUUGGAUAAUUUUUAACAAUGCAUGGUAUGGGAAAAAUAAGUUGCUUGCAAAAAUAUUGCUUAACUUCAUUUAAUUGCAGUACUGCAUGAUUAACCACAAAUGUUGUGGAGGCCUACAUUAUUAAUGGUGUGGCAUUCCAUCCAGUUGGACUUUUGAGAUGUACAUCUUUCUGAUUUCCUGUUGUGGGUCAGUAGUUAAUGAAUCUGACUAGGAACCAGGAGGUUAUGGUUUUGAUCCCUGGCCUUGCUUAGUGGGUUAAGGAUCCGGCAUUGCCCUGAGCUGUGGUGUAGGUCGCAGACGCGGUUCAGAUCUAGUGUUGCUGUGGCCCUGGCAUAGGCCAGUAGCUACAGCUCCAAUUAGACCCCUAGCUUGAGAACCUCCAUAUGCCAUGGGUGUGGCCC